CGCGUAGGCGGUCUCUUAAGUCAGAUGUGAAAGCCCGGGGCUUAACCUCGGAAGUGCAUUUGAAACUAAGGGACUUGAGCAUGGGAGAGGGAAGUGGAAUUCCUGGUGUAGCGGUGAAAUGCGUAGAUAUCAGGAGGAACACCGGUGGCGAAGGCGACUUCCUGGACCAAUACUGACGCUGAGGCGCGAAGGCGUGGGGAGCAAACAGGAUUAGAUACCCUGGUAGUC
This 228-nucleotide ribosomal RNA is filed under the name uncultured bacterium. RNAcentral describes it as "partial 16S ribosomal RNA". It matches the Rfam family "Bacterial small subunit ribosomal RNA", at positions 568 to 795 of the family's 1533-position model. The record is from RNAcentral.